UCCGGCAGCAUCUCCUUUGAAACUAACAUAACAAGGAGGGGAAAACAUGAAGUUCAUACAGGAUAUAAAGACAUAUAAUUCACAUAGUAGAAGCUAAAUGCAAAGUGGUAAACUCAUUUAUGCCCCAACUGAAGCAAAACAAAUGGGAUGAGGAACUCAGCCCACCCCAAGAUAAACGCUCAACCAAGAACAAGGCAAAUCACUAGACUUGACCAAUUCUGAUUAACAACAUUAUUAAAUGGUGAUUCCUUUAUUAAAGGUGUAGUGGUCGUGCUGCUACAUCCCUCUAUUCCCAAAGCAGAAAUUAGGUGCCUGCAUCAAACAAUGCAAGAUGUGAGAUAAUACAUCUCAGCAAGUAAACAUAACAACAACAAAUAGGACAUUGUAAAUCAACUGUGCUUACACAACCACAUGGUUCAGAACUCCUUUCUUUCUUUUGAACAGUAAAUUGCAGCAAGUAAGCAAAUAACUAAAUUCUUAACGCCAAGAAGAAUCACCAUGCACAAGUCCAAAUUAACCACAUCCACAUAAUAGAUUCCACACCUCUCCCAUGAAUGCACAUGGCUACAGAUGCAAUAAUGACUUCUGCCUCCAUAUCACUAAGGAUAUGAAGCUGCACCAUACCCCUUCUCGGGCAACAUAUGAUGCUCAAUGUACCGGUAUGGUCAGACCAUAAGAUCGCGACGAAACUUCAAUGCAAUGGAUGAUGAGUGCAUUAUGCAUGACAACAUCAUGAGUUCUUCCCAAAUAAAAAUGUGCUAGACAUAUACUUCCACCCAUUCCACAUAAUAACCACUUGAGUAACAUAAUCAAACCUCAAACUCAACAUAUGAAAUCCAUGAAACAUGAACAUUUCAAAUGAUGGUACUCAAAAAAAAUAUGAAUAUGAACACAAUAGCAAAACAUAAUCAUGUAUAAGACUCCUCAUCUGACAGACGGAAUAACCAUCACAGUUUUACUUGCCUUCACCGGAUGUUUGGGCAAAUCCCUAAGAACGAUCCGGAAGUCCACCACCUUGGAUUCUCCCCCUUUCCUUCCUCCCUUCUUCCCUCCACCAAAACGAUUGAAGAUUCGCACCACGUGACGAUGAUCCGAGCGGCAAGGAUUGGC
This 1110-nucleotide long non-coding RNA is filed under the name Zea mays. RNAcentral describes it as "long non-coding RNA (ZMAY_LNC004266)". Lineage: Eukaryota; Viridiplantae; Streptophyta; Magnoliopsida; Poales; Poaceae. The record is from RNAcentral.